This 102-nucleotide small nuclear RNA is filed under the name Ovis aries (sheep). Lineage: Eukaryota; Metazoa; Chordata; Mammalia; Artiodactyla; Bovidae. The record is from RNAcentral.
GUGCUCGCUUUGGCAGCACGUAUACAACACCAGUGUGAUACAGAGAAGAUUAGCAUGGCCCCCGGGCAAGAUAUGCAAAUUUGUGAAGCAUUCCAUAUUUUU